Molecule: non-coding RNA, 95 nt
Organism: Aspergillus ruber CBS 135680
Lineage: Eukaryota; Fungi; Ascomycota; Eurotiomycetes; Eurotiales; Aspergillaceae
Source: the annotation of a RefSeq genome assembly
GGUCCCGUAGCAUAACUGGUAGUAUAGUGUGCUCAUAUCGCUGUGAUCUAUGGUUUAGUGACACAAAGGUCGAGGUUCAAACCCUCGCGGAACCG